Molecule: non-coding RNA, 67 nt
Organism: Cordylochernes scorpioides
Lineage: Eukaryota; Metazoa; Arthropoda; Arachnida; Pseudoscorpiones; Chernetidae
Source: the annotation of a GenBank genome assembly
UGUCAAGGGAUGGGAAUCGACCUUCCGCUUACCGGGCAGAUGCCAUGACCACUAGGCUACCCUGGAC